This 74-nucleotide transfer RNA is filed under the name Rhodospirillaceae bacterium. Its description in RNAcentral is "tRNA-Gly". It matches the Rfam family "tRNA". Rfam says of the family: Transfer RNA (tRNA) molecules are approximately 80 nucleotides in length. Their secondary structure includes four short double-helical elements and three loops (D, anti-codon, and T loops). Lineage: Bacteria; Pseudomonadati; Pseudomonadota; Alphaproteobacteria; Rhodospirillales; Rhodospirillaceae. The record is from RNAcentral.
GCGGGUGUAGCUCAAUGGCAGAGCAAGAGCUUCCCAAGCUCCAGACGAGGGUUCGAUUCCCUUCACCCGCUCCA